UACGUAGGGUGCGAGCGUUGUCCGGAAUUAUUGGGCGUAAAGAGCUUGUAGGCGGUUUGUCGCGUCUGCCGUGAAAGUCCGGGGCUCAACUCCGGAUCUGCGGUGGGUACGGGCAGACUAGAGUGUGGUAGGGGAGACUGGAAUUCCUGGUGUAGCGGUGAAAUGCGCAGAUAUCAGGAGGAACACCGAUGGCGAAGGCAGGUCUCGUGGGCCAACUACUGACGCUGGAGGAGCGAAAGCAUGGGAGCGAACAGG
This 255-nucleotide ribosomal RNA is filed under the name uncultured bacterium. Its description in RNAcentral is "partial 16S ribosomal RNA". It matches the Rfam family "Bacterial small subunit ribosomal RNA", at positions 524 to 776 of the family's 1533-position model. The record is from RNAcentral.